AUGGCUCAGAACGAACGCGUGGUAGCGUGGAUUAGGCAUGCACGUCGAACGGGAGUCCGGAAGGCAGCAAUGUCGGCCGGUGAGAGUGGCGGAAGGGCGAGGAACACGUGGGCAACCUGUCUUGAGGUGGGGAAAACCUCGGGAAACUGAGGCUAAUACCGAAUGUGGCGCGGAAGGGCAUCCUUCCUGCGCUAAAGGGGGCGAAAGCUCCCCCUCUUCGAGGGGCUCGCGCACCAUCAGCUAGUUGGCGGGGUAACGGCCCACCAAGGCUCACGGUUAGCUGGUCUGAGAGGAUGGCCAGCCGCACUGGGACUGAGAUACUGCCCAGACUCCUACGGGAGGCUGCAGUCGAGGAUCAUUCGCAAUGGGCGAAAGCCUGACGAUGCGACGCUGCGUGGAGGAUGAAGGCCUUCGGGUUGUAAACUCCUGUCAUGAGGGAAAAGGAGACCCCUGCCCAAUACGCAGGGGAUUUGAUGGUACCUCAAGAGGAAGGGACGGCUAACUCUGUGCCAGCCGCUGC
This 520-nucleotide ribosomal RNA is filed under the name uncultured bacterium. RNAcentral's name for it is "bacterial SSU rRNA". It matches the Rfam family "Bacterial small subunit ribosomal RNA", at positions 19 to 518 of the family's 1533-position model. The record is from RNAcentral.